Molecule: long non-coding RNA, 1616 nt
Organism: Salvelinus fontinalis (brook trout)
Lineage: Eukaryota; Metazoa; Chordata; Actinopteri; Salmoniformes; Salmonidae
Exons: 2
Source: RefSeq, a predicted model, not a curated record
UUGGCACCUGAAACACCUUAGUGGGUUCGGAACAAAAGCUCUCACAGGAUAAUUUAUACCCUAGCAUGACUUUAUCCGGCAACACUCUGCAUCAAAACUCUAAAGGACAGACCGUGUCUCCUCAUGCUCACGCUCUCCACCGGGUCUGCAUUGCAUCAAGCAUUGUCUUCACCGGACCCAGGCUUUAGCCCCGAAUGAUUUUGUCUCUGUUCCGAGUCUUUUGCCCUGCUGGAAUAGUGUAAAAUAAGCUAUUCUACACUGCAAGGAAUAUUACAAACAUGAGCCCUGGUCUGCCCUGUCUUUUUAGUGCUGCCUAAAACCAGCAUUUCAGUGUAUGGUGGCACUUUAGGAGGCGGAGACAAGGUGGUUUUCUAAAGUAAUUUUUGAUUCGUCCCCCCCAAACUAUAUUUUGCCGUGCACAGGCUCAAUCUCUGUGGGAGAGAGCGCAAAGAUGAGAAGGAGAACCGGAGGUGAACUUUGAAACCCAAGACAGCAGAACGUCAGACAGCAAGGAAGAGAGGGGACAAGACAGAGCGAGAACACGGGAGAACAUCUCGAGAGGGCAGGCCCACACAAGACAAACAUGGCAUAUUCAUCUCAAGCCAGAGGAACUAGUCCUUGCUAAACAUAAAGAUGCCACUUCUGACAUGUCCUGUGUGUAUACAUUGUUAGACACUGAUAUUUUCCCAUCACUCAAGGCAAUCGUAUAGACUGUGCUGACCAUCCCAGUUAGCAGCUGUGAGAGAUCUUUCAGUGCAUUAAAACAUCUACAUACCUGGCUUAGGAGACCAAGAUAGGAUGACAAUUGACAAGGAUAUUCAUACUAACACGCUUGGGAAAGAGUGAAGUCAUAGACAGGUUUGCACCUACAUUUUAAUUUUAUGGAUGGACUAAUUUUAGCACUGUGUAAUAUAACUAGCAAACAUUGUGAAUAUUUAGUUGGAGAAUGGAUUGUAUGCUGGUACAUGUGUGUAAAAUUGUGAAGAGAUAUUACUACAGGGGUGUUGGGGGGGGUGUAUUUGUUUUUGUGUAAUUACUUAGGUAGAAAUAGUCAAGUAGCUAAUUGACCUUGGACUUUUUGACAUCCACGUGAUUCAGAAUAUACCAUCUUCAUAGUCAUGUUAUGCUUGGUUCAAUAGCUAUUGACGAGGAAACCGAAUACCCAAUAUAAAACAAAUUUUACUUCUUUAAGCAGAACACCACUUUCGUCCCCAUAGACUCAAAACCACAAACAGAUCAACCAAAGGUAUGGAUCCACUUAAUCCAAGAAUCAUACUCCCAUUGGGCCAGAGUCUUCCUGAUCAUUGGAGUGAGGCUCGGAAGCCUUCACACCACCUGACGACCCAGGUUCUUUCUCCUCACUUUCGUCAGGAUCAAUUUCAAGUUCACUGUCCGUUGACAGCUCAGGGUCUUCAGGCACAUAACAUGCAUUUUGUCUCUCCCGUUUCCUACCCCAUUAAAGUUGAACAUUUAAAUGGGUUAGGUAAGGGUUAAUGGCAGGGGGCUUGCAUGUUUUGCAUGUUAUUUUGGCAUUAAUACGUGUCACAUCAGUUUGCAAACAAUGUAAAAAAAUAUAUAUAUACAUCAUUGAGUUAAUAAAACUGCAUACAAACAUG